This 484-nucleotide ribosomal RNA is filed under the name uncultured bacterium. RNAcentral describes it as "partial 16S ribosomal RNA". It matches the Rfam family "Bacterial small subunit ribosomal RNA", at positions 30 to 507 of the family's 1533-position model. The record is from RNAcentral.
AUUGAACGCUGGCGGCAGGCCUAACACAUGCAAGUCGAGCGGACGAAGGGAGCUUGCUCCUGGAUUCAGCGGCGGACGGGUGAGUAAUGCCUAGGAAUCUGCCUGGUCGUGGGGGCUAACGUCCGGAAACGGGCGCUAAUACCGCAUACGUCCUGAGGGUGAAAGUGGGGGAUCUUCGGACAUCAAGCUACCAGAUGAGACUAGGUCGGAUUAGCUAGUUGGUGGGGUAAAGGCCUACCAAGGCGACGAUCCGUAACUGAUCUGAGAGGAUGAUCAGUCACACUGGAACUGAGACACGGUCCAGACUCCUACGGGAGGCAGCAGUGGGGAAUAUUGGACAAUGGGCGAAAGCCUGAUCCAGCCAUGCCGCGUGUGUGAAGAAGGUCUUCGGAUUGUAAAGCACUUUAAGUUGGGAGGAAGGGCAGUAAGUGAAUACCUGGCUGUUUUGACGGUACCAACAGAAUAAGCACCGGCUAACUUCGUG